CGGGAAGCGAGCGUACACAGGUGCUGCAUGGCUGUCGUCAGCUCGUGUCGUGAGAUGUUCGGUUAAGUCCGCUAACGAGCGCAACCCUCGCUGUGUGUUACAAGUGUCACACGGAACUGCCGGUCAUAAACCGGAGGAAGGUGGGGAUGACGUCAAGUCAGCAUGGCCUUUAUAUCCUGGGCUACACACACGCUACAAUGGGAAGGGACAAUAGGUUGCGAAGCCGCGAGGCGGAGCCAAUCCAGCAAAACUUCCCUCAGUUCAGAUUGCAGGCUGCAACUCGCCUGCAUGAAGUUGGAGUUGCUAGUAAACGCAGGUCAGCCAUACUGCGUUGAAUACGUUCCCGGGGCUU
This 352-nucleotide ribosomal RNA is filed under the name uncultured Levilinea sp. RNAcentral's name for it is "bacterial SSU rRNA". It matches the Rfam family "Bacterial small subunit ribosomal RNA", at positions 1018 to 1382 of the family's 1533-position model. Lineage: Bacteria; Bacillati; Chloroflexota; Anaerolineae; Anaerolineales; Anaerolineaceae. The record is from RNAcentral.